UACGAAGGGGGCUAGCGUUGCUCGGAAUCACUGGGCGUAAAGCGCACGUAGGCGGCUUUCUAAGUCAGGGGUGAAAUCCUGGAGCUCAACUCCAGAACUGCCUUUGAUACUGGAGAGCUUGAGUCCGGGAGAGGUGAGUGGAACUCCGAGUGUAGAGGUGAAAUUCGUAGAUAUUCGGAAGAACACCAGUGGCGAAGGCGACUCGCUGGACAGACAUUGACGCUGAGGUGCGAAAGCGUGGGGAGCAAACAGG
Molecule: ribosomal RNA, 253 nt
Filed under: uncultured bacterium
Lineage: Bacteria
Description: partial 16S ribosomal RNA
Rfam family: Bacterial small subunit ribosomal RNA
Source: RNAcentral